CCCCGACCCGCUGCAAGGACUCGAAAGUCUGUGGAAUGGACGAGACCACCAAUAUCCUAGGGGACGGGGGAAGAGAUGAGAAGUCACCUCUUGAUUUAGGGGUAUAUGGCAAGUGUCCAUAACCUUAACCUCAGAGGCUAACGCUCUCAAAUUGUUCAUGGACCUGUUCACAAUCUCAUUUUCGGGUGAGAAUAGAAAUUUAAAACUGUAGACUGUUUCUCACUUGCCUCCCCUGCCUAACAAAUGGAAGUUACCCGCUCAUAGGUGCGCAUGCGCCGGGGCGUAUUCUCGCGCUUGGUUGUCCAGACCCGCCUCCUCCAAGCCCCGCCUCUUCGAAGUCUUUGCUGAACCAGGGCCUAUUUUGCCGGCCUCUCCCAUAACUCACGGAGCGCCCCUGAAGGCCAUCAACAAUCCUAUUUGCGCAUGGCCACCUAGAAUACUGAAGAGAUGGAAAAGACGUUGGCAUUACUCAUGAGGCCCCAGGGAAACCAUAAUUUAAAACCUCUGAUGAACGAAAGAAGAUGUCACAGUCUCCUUGCAGCUCCUGGUGAGUGUGUCCCAGACAGAAUGGAGCCAAGACUGCCAGCAUGUCCUGCCCGCCAGUGGCUGCACACAGUGGGAUGUCCCUCCAGGACCUUGUUUCAGGCAUGUUGGAGCUUCUGGGCAGAGGCCUCUUUCACAGGCUGACUA
This is a long non-coding RNA of Phacochoerus africanus (Common warthog), 690 nucleotides long. RefSeq lists it as uncharacterized. NCBI's taxonomy places the organism in Eukaryota, Metazoa, Chordata, Mammalia, Artiodactyla, Suidae. The transcript has 4 exons. The record is from RefSeq and is a predicted model, not a curated record.